UACGAAGGUCCCAAGCGUUAUCCGGAUUUAUUGGGUUUAAAGGGUGCGUAGGCGGGUUAUUAAGUCAGUGGUGAAAGCCUGCAGCUUAACUGCAGAAUUGCCAUUGAUACUGAUGAUCUUGAGUAUGAUUGAGGUGGGCGGAAUGUGUCAUGUAGCGGUGAAAUGCUUAGAUAUGACACAGAACACCGAUUGCGAAGGCAGCUCACUAAGUUAUAACUGACGCUGAUGCACGAAAGCGUGGGGAGCAAACAGG
Molecule: ribosomal RNA, 253 nt
Filed under: uncultured bacterium
Lineage: Bacteria
Description: partial 16S ribosomal RNA
Rfam family: Bacterial small subunit ribosomal RNA
Source: RNAcentral